CGAGUUUGAUCCUGGCUCAGAUUGAACGCUGGCGGCAUGCCUUACACAUGCAAGUCGAACGGUAACGCGGGGCAACCUGGCGACGAGUGGCGAACGGGUGAGUAAUGCAUCGGAACGUGCCCAGUAGUGGGGGAUAGCCCGGCGAAAGCCGGAUUAAUACCGCAUACGACCUACGGGUGAAAGCGGGGGACCGCAAGGCCUCGCGCUAUUGGAGCGGCCGAUGUCAGAUUAGGUAGUUGGUGGGGUAAAGGCCUACCAAGCCGACGAUCUGUAGCUGGUCUGAGAGGACGACCAGCCACACUGGGACUGAGACACGGCCCAGACUCCUACGGGAGGCAGCAGUGGGGAAUUUUGGACAAUGGGCGCAAGCCUGAUCCAGCCAUGCCGCGUGCGGGAAGAAGGCCUUCGGGUUGUAAACCGCUUUUGUCAGGGAAGAAAUGUCCUGGGCUAAUACCCCGGGAAGAUGACGGUACCUGAAGAAUAAGCACCGGCUAACUACGUGCCAGCAGCCGCGGUAAUACGUAGGGUGCAAGCGUUAAUCGGAAUUACUGGGCGUAAAGCGUGCGCAGGCGGUCUUGCAAGACAGAUGUGAAAUCCCCGGGCUUAACCUGGGAACUGCAUUUGUGACUGCAAGGCUGGAGUGCGGCAGAGGGGGAUGGAAUUCCGCGUGUAGCAGUGAAAUG
RNAcentral lists this ribosomal RNA (683 nucleotides) under uncultured bacterium. Its description in RNAcentral is "bacterial SSU rRNA". It matches the Rfam family "Bacterial small subunit ribosomal RNA", at positions 9 to 688 of the family's 1533-position model. The record is from RNAcentral.